GUGGGGAAUUUUGGACAAUGGGCGCAAGCCUGAUCCAGCAAUGCCGCGUGCAGGAAGAAGGCCUUCGGGUUGUAAACUGCUUUUGUACGGAACGAAACGGUCCGGGUUAAUACCCUGGGCUAAUGACGGUACCGUAAGAAUAAGCACCGGCUAACUACGUGCCAGCAGCCGCGGUAAUACGUAGGGUGCGAGCGUUAAUCGGAAUUACUGGGCGUAAAGCGUGCGCAGGCGGUUUUGUAAGACAGGCGUGAAAUCCCCGGGCUCAACCUGGGAAUUGCGCUUGUGACUGCAAGGCUGGAGUGCGGCAGAGGGGGAUGGAAUUCCGCGUGUAGCAGUGAAAUGCGUAGAUAUGCGGAGGAACACCGAUGGCGAAGGCAAUCCCCUGGGCCUGCACUGACGCUCAUGCACGAAAGCGUGGGGAGCAAACAGGAUUAGAUACCCGUGUAGUCC
This 450-nucleotide ribosomal RNA is filed under the name uncultured bacterium. Its description in RNAcentral is "partial 16S ribosomal RNA". It matches the Rfam family "Bacterial small subunit ribosomal RNA", at positions 354 to 796 of the family's 1533-position model. The record is from RNAcentral.